Molecule: ribosomal RNA, 1287 nt
Filed under: Anonychiella brevicornis
Lineage: Eukaryota; Metazoa; Arthropoda; Insecta; Hemiptera; Miridae
Description: partial large subunit ribosomal RNA
Rfam family: Eukaryotic large subunit ribosomal RNA
Source: RNAcentral
AAACCCAAAGGCGAAAUGAAAGUGAAGGGAACUUCUCGUUUCUGAGGGAGGAUGAGUCGGUUACCCGCAAGGKGCCGCUCCRCACUCCCGGGGCGUCUCUUUMUCAUUGCGAGUGGAGGCGCACCCAGAGCGUACACGCUGAUACCCGAAAGAUGGUGAACUAUGCCUGGCCAGGACGAAGCCAGGGGAAACCCUGGUGGAGGUCCGCAGCGAUUCUGACGUGCAAAUCGAUCGUCGGAGCUGGGUAUAGGGGCGAAAGACCAAUCGAACCAUCUAGUAGCUGGUUCCCUCCGAAGUUUCCCUCAGGAUAGCUUGCGCUCACGUGAACGAGUCUCAUCCGGUAGAGCGAAUGAUUAGAGGCCUKGGGGUCGAAACGACCUCAACCUAUUCUCAAACUCCAAAUAGAUGAGAACUCCGGCUUUCUUGAAUUUUCAUGAAGCCGGGGGCUUGGAUCAGAGUGCCAAGUGGGCCAAUUUUGGUAAGCAGAACUGGCGCUGUGGGAUGAACCAAACGUCGAGUUAAGGCGCCUAAAUCGACGCUCAUGUGAAACCAUGAAAGGCGUUGGUUGCUUAAGACAGCAGGACGGUGGCCAUGGAAGUCGGAAUCCGCUAAGGAGUGUGUAACAACUCACCUGCCGAAGCAACUAGCCCUGAAAAUGGAUGGCGCUGUAGCGUCGUGCCUAUACUCGACCGUCAACGGCAAAGAUGGCUGGUGGGCAACCAUCGGCCGUUAAGCCUUGACGAGUAGGAGGGCCGCGGCGACGUGCGUAGAAGGGUCUGGGCGUGAGCCUGCCUGGAGCCGUCGUCGGUGCAGAUCUUGGUGGUAGUAGCAAAUACUCCAGCGAGGCCCUGGAGGACUGAUGUGGAGAAGGGUUUCUUGUGAACAGCUGUUGCACAAGAGUCAGUCGGUCCUAAGCCCUAGGAGAAAUCCGAAGCGAUGGGUUGCCGUUAAGCCACGUAUUGUGUAGGCACCCGUUUGGGCGAAAGGGAAUCCGGUUCCUAUUCCGGAACCUGGCAGUGGAACCGUUCCAAUUCGGGCCCUCUGAGGACUCGUCGGGGCAACCCGAAUGGACCCGGAGACGCCGGCAGGAGGUUGGGGGGAGAGUUGUCUCUUCUCUAUAAGCGAUCGAGUUCCCUGGAAACUUCUAGCAAGGAGAUAGGGUUUGGAUCGCGAARGAGCACUGCAGUUACGGCAGUGUCCCCAAUCUUCCUCUCGGACCUUGAAAAAUCCGGGUGAGGGCCACGAGGAAACCCCACGCCAGAACCGUACCCCAUAUUCCGCAGCAGG